AUUGAACGCUGGCGGAAUGCUUUACACAUGCAAGUCGAACGGUAGAGGGGGCAACCCCUCGAGAGUGGCGAACGGGUGAGUAAUAUAUCGGAACGUGCCCAGUCGUGGGGGAUAACGUAGCGAAAGUUACGCUAAUACCGCAUACGAUCUAAGGAUGAAAGCGGGGGAUCGCAAGACCUCGCGCGAUUGGAGCGGCCGAUAUCAGAUUAGGUAGUUGGUGGGGUAAAGGCUCACCAAGCCAACGAUCUGUAGCUGGUCUGAGAGGACGACCAGCCACACGGGAACGGAGACACGGUCCAGACGCCUACGGGAGGCAGGGGUGGGGUAUUUUGGACAAUGGACGAAAGUCUGAUCCGGCCAUUCCGGGUGAAGGAUGAAGGCCCUCGGGUUGUAAACUGCUUUUGUACGGAACGAAAAGGUCUCUCUUAAUACGGGGGGCUCAUGACGGUACCGUAAGAAUAAGCACCGGCUAACUACGUGCCAGCCGCCGCGGUAA
This 496-nucleotide ribosomal RNA is filed under the name uncultured bacterium. RNAcentral's name for it is "partial 16S ribosomal RNA". It matches the Rfam family "Bacterial small subunit ribosomal RNA", at positions 30 to 523 of the family's 1533-position model. The record is from RNAcentral.